AUUGAACGCUGGCGGCAUGCUUUACACAUGCAAGUCGAACGGUAACAGGCCGCAAGGUGCUGACGAGUGGCGAACGGGUGAGUAAUGCAUCGGAACGUGCCCAGUCGUGGGGGAUAACUACUCGAAAGAGUAGCUAAUACCGCAUACGAUCUAUGGAUGAAAGCGGGGGACCGUAAGGCCUCGCGCGAUUGGAGCGGCCGAUGUCAGAUUAGGUAGUUGGUGGGGUAAAGGCUCACCAAGCCAACGAUCUGUAGCUGGUCUGAGAGGACAACCAGCCACACUGGAACUGAGACACGGCCCAGACUCCUACGGGAGGCAGCAGUGGGGAAUUUUGGACAAUGGGCGCAAGCCUGAUCCAGCAAUGCCGCGUGCAGGAAGAAGGCCUUCGGGUUGUAAACUGCUUUUGUACGGAACGAAACGGCUCUGGUUAAUACCCGGGGCUAAUGACGGUACCGUAAGAAUAAGCACCGGCUAACUACGUG
This 482-nucleotide ribosomal RNA is filed under the name uncultured bacterium. RNAcentral's name for it is "partial 16S ribosomal RNA". It matches the Rfam family "Bacterial small subunit ribosomal RNA", at positions 30 to 507 of the family's 1533-position model. The record is from RNAcentral.